Molecule: non-coding RNA, 1411 nt
Organism: Pelobates cultripes (western spadefoot toad)
Lineage: Eukaryota; Metazoa; Chordata; Amphibia; Anura; Pelobatidae
Source: the annotation of a GenBank genome assembly
AGAAUAUCCUUAAAAUCGGAAUGGGCAAGACAUCCUGAAAUUUAGCAUUGUCUUACAUCCUAUAGAAGAAAUACCUUAGUCUGUCACAGUCAGCAUAUUGACUUUAAGUAUUCAAUAUUCCUUCAGUCAGCAAUAAUCAUAUUAUAAACCUUAUAAAAGCAUAAAAUACAUAUAAACAAGUUAACUAUUUAAUAUUCUUACAUUCCCCUCUUUGAGCAAUAAAACAAUUGCUCAUCUUAUCGAUAAAAUCCUACCAGGACAGAGAAACUUCCACAUGGUAUUUUCAGGGGUGCUAGUCACUCCCUGCGGGACUUUCAUUAAUUUCUUCACCUCGAUUCCCAUGUGGUAAUUCCUAAGGCCCAGUUUAAAGAUGGGUUGAUACUCUACAGUGGCAGAGAGGAGAAUUUCUAAUUGUUUCUGUUCUGCAUUAUGGAUUCAUUUCUGUACUCACUUCCUCAAUGUACAAGUAAGGUGACAGUUAUAUAAAACCAUACACAAUAAAAUCAGGACUAUAAUAACAAAAGGAUAGAAGAAUGAUUUCAUUAUCUGGGAUCCAGUAGGGGACCAACCAGUGAAGCAUCGUACCAAUGAUGGGCUAAAUCAUUCUGAAUUUGUGAACUCACCUUAAGGAGUUCUCCUUUUAGGAUAUGUGUGGCUAUCUGUGUAUGUUAUCUUUGGGAAAAAUAUAGUCCCCUGUGUAUGUGGGUGCCCACCAGGUUAAAUUCUUGGCAAAAAGAUCAUAAACUGGUACUGGUAAUGUGUUAAAUUGACAAGCUAAUUUAACAUCCUUUGAUGAUGUAUGAUAUAAUGUAAAAUAGCAUGAGCAUGAAAAAUGUGAAACAUUACCAGUUAACCAUCCAUUGCAUUUAGUGGAUUGGGGUUUUAGAAGUAACCAUUCAUUAUCUGUGAGGUUACACAUUCCUCUAAUCUUCUCUAGUUUAGGAAUCAUUAGUGUGUUUUCUAAUGCCAAUCCUUGUUGUUGUAUCCAUAAAUACCUGAUGGCACAGGUACUCCAGUUACUUAGACCUGUAGUGAAUUUCAUAGUUGCAACAGUUAAAUUAUCUAAAUAAUUAUACAUUGAUUUAUCUAAAUCCAAUCCUAUAACCUGUGAUUUAACAACAAUUGGAGCCCAAUUUGCAGUAGCAUGAAAACCAGUCCCUAUAUGCAUGCUGGCUGUAUUUAACUUAUUCUUGAGGGUCUCCAUAUCUAUAACUAUUUAGUAUACCCAUAGUGGUUCCAGCACCUCCUAACAGUGUGUCAUACCAUUCCCUUUUCUGCCUUUGUUUGUUGUAUUACAUAAUGUUACAACAAGAGUAGUGAUUUUUAAUGACACAUGUACAGCUUGUAAGAAGGCAGUUGUAUUAACACAUGUGGACGGAAUAGGUGUGUGUGUGUCGUGGUUGACUUUUGG